This 345-nucleotide unclassified non-coding RNA is filed under the name soil metagenome. Its description in RNAcentral is "partial contains 5.8S ribosomal RNA, internal transcribed spacer 2, and large subunit ribosomal RNA". The stretch from base 1 to 120 matches the Rfam family "5.8S ribosomal RNA", at positions 35 to 154 of the family's 154-position model. The record is from RNAcentral.
GAUGAAGAACGCAGCGAAAUGCGAUACGUAAUGUGAAUUGCAGAAUUCAGUGAAUCAUCGAGUCUUUGAACGCACAUUGCGCCCUCUGGUAUUCCGGAGGGCAUGCCUGUCCGAGCGUCAUUGCUGCCCUCAAGCACGGCUUGUGUGUUGGGCUCCGUCCCCCGAUCCCGGGGGACGGGCCCGAAAGGCAGCGGCGGCACCGCGUCCGGUCCUCGAGCGUAUGGGGCUUUGUCACCCGCUCUGUAGGCCCGGCCGGCGCUUGCCGAUCAACAAAAUUUUUAUCCAGGUUGACCUCGGAUCAGGUAGGGAUACCCGCUGAACUUAAGCAUAUCAAUAAGCGGAGGA